This is a long non-coding RNA of Athene cunicularia (burrowing owl), 4552 nucleotides long. RefSeq lists it as uncharacterized. The transcript is spliced from 3 exons. Lineage: Eukaryota; Metazoa; Chordata; Aves; Strigiformes; Strigidae. The record is from RefSeq and is a predicted model, not a curated record.
GGUAAGACUGCUGAAAAAUGUGUCAGUGUAGCAGAUGAUAGUUCUCCUUUCUUAAUGCCUCUCCUGAAGCAUCAAGGUGUACGUGUUUCUCAAAGGGGCUGUACAUCUCAGAGGUAGUCUAUGAACUGCACGUUGAAAUGGUUGCCAUGGCAGUGACUGAGUAUAAGUUAGAAAGCGUGAUUAGCCAGAGUUGGCCUAAAUAGCUGAAGGGAAGGGGAAAAAAAAAAAAAAGAAAGGAAAAAAAAGGCCAAGGACUUUCUGUUAUUUCUAAUACAGAUCCAUCAGCAUUAGACGGUGCCAGGAAGAGGCAGCGGCACUGAUGAAGAGGAGCUUGCAGGAGUGUGCUCCACACCCCAGCCCCAGCUGGGGUACCACCAGCAGCACCUGCUGCAAGGGGACCUUCGCCCCCUUACAACAUGCCAGCGCAGCAGCUGCACACUGGGGAGGGGCCGUUAGUACAGCCCAGUCCUAUUAGUGUUGAUCUUGUGAAAUGGUACUUCUCCAGAGUCAGAGGCCAGACUAGGGCACUGCUCAGCCUUCAGCAACCCUGAGAGCCUGGUCACAGCACUCUCCUGGCUGAUGUGGGGCAUAGUCACAUUAGAAAGUGCGAGACUGGCCUGCAGAGAGGCUGCAAGGCUUGCCACAAGUGACACAGAGGGCUGCUACCCUGGGUGGGGUGUUAAUUGAUGAACUCCCUGUGCCUAGAGCCAUUCCAUUUCUUCUAGUCCCCUUGAAGCAUGCCUCUGAAAGGUAUCCCAUCUUCAUUUGGAGCCUGAGAAUUAGAGAAUGAAGCCCUUUUUGUUAAUUCAUUGCAAUGGUUAAUCACGCUUGCUUGUUAAAAAAAAAUAAUUGCACCUUAUAUCUAAUUUAAAUGUGUAUGGUAUUAGUGUUCAGCCUCUGGUGUGUGCUCUAUUCUUCUCUGAUAUAUUUAAAGAAAAAAUAAUCACUUCUUGAGAUCCUGUGGGUUUUUUCUGUGAAGGUUUCUUAUGCGCUGGAGUUACUUUUGAGCUUGUUUUUGAAGAAGUGAAGCAGCAGAAUUCUUUCUCUCAAAGGGUUUUCUUACAGCUUUUCUCAGGGAAAAGUGGGAGACUAAGGUGAACACAUCUCAAUACCAGGUCUGAAUGGAAAAACAACCUCUCUAGGAGCUGUAGAGCCACAUUAAGGGGCCAGAUGCCCAAUGUAAAAUCAGCAGAAGAGAUUUAUGCAAGCUGAGAGUAUGCAGGUCAGGGAUCUUUCAGCAACAGAGGACCCAUAGCAACAGUGUUUGUGUGGGAGACAAAAAUGUUCAGUCUCUGGGAUGCCUACAUUUUGACUAGGAUUCCUCGAGGUUCUGUAGGAUGAAGAUCAAACUUUUUCAGGAAAAACAACUCCCAGACAAAUAAAGCAUAUGGCACAGAAGAUGAAGCGCUGAUGCCAAGUUUGUCUUUGCCUUAGCAGAACUUGCUGCGAAAUGCUGAAUCUGCAGAUCUCCUGGAACAUGCUCUUCAAGAGAACGGGGAAGGCAUAUUCCCACCGCCUUUUUAGCUGGGCUUGUGCACUCUCACUGUUUAAAUCCUCAAUGAAUAGGACAUUAUUGUGGCUGCAGUGCUGAUCUGACACACACAGUACUACCUUCAAACUAGGUGCCAUGGAUAGUAGUGCUUGUGGCAGCAGCAAAUAAAACCCAUCCAUCAGGUGGGCUACAUAUUUGAGAAGGAUCUGAAGCCCACACUAACCUGCCUUCUGCAUGCCUGUGGGCUAACUAGCUGUGACAACUGCCAUUUUGGCAAGCAGGCAUGCCUGCUGCCGUCUGGUUAGACACCCUGUUCCCGGCCAUGGUCUGCUAUCCAAUCGCUGUUUAUGCUGAUGGAAAUAUUUGUGGACAUGAUCGUAUUUGAGCUGUCCAGAAGUGACGUGUUCAGUGUGAAGUCCCUCCAUCAUGACUUGCUCUACAGUGAGCCACCUCCACAGGUUAUUUAUCCUAAAAGAGGUGUGGAGUGAUGAGAGAGGGUGCAUCUCUCUCCAUAAGCUCAGAGAAAACCUUCAGUGCCAACUCAGCCUGUAGCCAGCCAUUACAAGUCUAUCUGCUCCCAGCUCAGCCCCAUCAAAUGAGGCUCUGGGAGGACACGUUGCUGGUGGGUCCUAAUGUGGCACAGGUAAUUAGGACCUCGCCACCAACCGGCUCAGCUCUCUUCUGAAGGACGUAGGAUGCUGGAGGAACUUUAAGUGCCUCUCAGCAAUAUGCCUCUCCACGGUUGGGCAACAGCUGAAGAGGAGGUUUGAGUGUCUAAAUUAAGAAGUUAGGCAUCUAAGGCGUUUAUUGGACCUAUCUCUGCAGGGACUGAAGCUGAGCAGACUUACAUAAAAGGAAAAAAUCUCCUGCUGAUUUACUUUAAUCUUCCAGACAGCUAUGGAAAUGUUUGUGUUGUGUACUCUUACAGACAUGUUUGUUCUGUAGGCACUCUCAGACCUGAGAGAAGAGGCCAUCGUUUUACCUGGACACAUGCCAUGGAGGUACACCAUGGGUUGGGUGAGGGGUGCUGCUCUCCAAGGACCUUUGGCCUGGAGAUGUUUCGUAAGGUGGGAGGUGAAGUCCCCGCCUUUGGACCCAUGUGUCAGGAAAACCUCCUACCUGUGGGUAAGCGAUGCCUCUCUUUCCAUGAAGCAGAAGAUACCCAACAGGGUGAUGAAAUUAAUGGGCUGGGGAGCUCCUUUGUUUAAAUGAAUGCUGGGAGAGGCAAGGGAGGCUUGAUUUUUCACAUGGUUAAUGUUCCCAAUCCUCUUUUUAGUCCUCUCAUGGCAACCUGUGUACUUUGCAGUUCAAAGUCACAUGAAUCUCUGCUCAGCAGAAAUGUAAAUGUUUUGAUAAAACUGUUCUUAACAAAUUUGAUUCGUUUAAUCAGCUUGAUUAACUGCAGAGCUUUAUGGUCUUUAAUUGGGAAGGAUUUACUAUAAAUUACCAGUUUUUGUAAUUUUAUGAAGAACGUGGCAGUGCGCAGUAUCUUGCUGCCUUGGCAGUGGCAUGGAAGGUGCCUGUCUCUGGCACCCAGCCAUUCCCCUGUAGCUUCACAUGUUUCAGAGCCCUGGAGACCUCUGGGUGCCAAGCCUGCCUGAAAGGCCAGACAGAUGCUGGGCAAGGGGCAGGAUGGACAUGCAGCUGGAAGCGUCUCAAUAGACCCUAUUUCUCUUCUCUCGUGUUUUCAUCUCCCAGAUGAUUAAUCUCCCCUUCCAGUAAAAAUACAGCAUGCCUCUUCUGACAAGUCCCACAAGAAAGGAAGCACAGUUGGCCACAACAGCCCUCUCCUUGUUUUGCUUCAUAACCAGCCUCAGCCUGCACUGUGUUUUCAAAGGCUGGCGGAACAAAAUCCCCAGGUUUACCAGUAGAAAGAGAAAAAAAAGGUUGAUCAGAAAAUCUCAGCUUGGGUACACGUCACAUGUGGUCUUUCCCUUCUUUCAUUUAACGUGGCAGACUGACAGGCUGUAAAAUACAUCCAGCUGGAAAGAAGAUAAUUUUGUUUUACUCUGCCCAGCCUCAUUUUUCAGAGCUGAAUGUCCAGUCGUAUACCUGUGUGAAACCUCCGAGGCCCUGGAGGCUUAAUGCAGCAGUAUUUUUUUUAAUAGACAGUUUGUUGUCCACAUUACAUUUUUCAGUGCCUUUUUGGUCAAUAUCCCAGACUAGAGAAACCAAUGAGAGAUUGAAAACAAAUGAACUCUCCCCUUAAAUUUAGAGUUUGCCCAAAGCACCAGAGCAACUAGAGUAUUGACACAGUCUCUGCACCAGCAGAUUUGCUCUUUGCUUGGCAAGCACUGUUCUCCUGUCGCACUGCUGUGCUGCAGAGCCACUGUUCAGUGGGUCUCGGGGGUCUUGUCAUCGAAAUCCACAGGCUAAGCAACAUGGUUUCGCAGCUCUUUGCAGACAGCUUUGCACUUUUACUCCCCUCUGACUCUGAAGUGGAAUGGCACCUGAAAAAAACGGUGUAUUUCAUAAGAAAGGAAUGUUUUUCAUCCUUUCCUAGGACUUGCAUGGUCCUUCUGCAUGUACAGCUCUCACAGGCCAGCAUGAUGCAGGAGGAGACAUUUCUAACAGCAAACAACCCAGUUCCUCUUUCACCUUUGACAUUUCUACACAGUAUGAAAAGCUCUCGGCUGCUCACCAAAAGUUAGUAUUUGACCCUUUUUUUGCUUUUUUUCUUUCUUUUGCACAAACUAAACAUUCACAUGUCAUAUCCUGUAUGAGCAGUUGUUUUAAUGGAUGCGCUGCCAACAAAGAUGCUUGGGUUUAAGUGGCUGAUCCUUUGCCACCAUAAUGGCUUUUAAUGAAAGGUUUUGUCUUCGUAAGGCCAGAAUGUUCUUUAUCCAGCUUUGGCUUUUGAAAGAAACACCAUAAAUGUUUUUUGAUUGGAUGUGAAAUGUUGUGUAAAUUCUGUAAUACCAAGUUGGAAAAUCUGUCCUUUCCUUGUUAAUAGGCUAUAUAUCAAAACAGGGGGGGGUUAAAGCCUAAAUGGUUUUAUACACUAUGAAUUCAUCAGUUUUACAUCCCCAGCAAGGGGAAUAUUUAAAAACAGAAGAAAUG